This 468-nucleotide ribosomal RNA is filed under the name uncultured bacterium. RNAcentral's name for it is "partial 16S ribosomal RNA". It matches the Rfam family "Bacterial small subunit ribosomal RNA", at positions 28 to 507 of the family's 1533-position model. The record is from RNAcentral.
GACGAACGCUGGCGGCGUGCUUAACACAUGCCAGUCGAACGGAAAGGCCCUGCUUUUGUGGGGUGCUCGAGUGGCGAACGGGUGAGUAACACGUGAGUAACCUGCCCUUGACUUUGGGAUAACUUCAGGAAACUGGGGCUAAUACCGGAUAGGAGCUCCUGCUGCAUGGUGGGGGUUGGAAAGUUUCGGCGGUUGGGGAUGGACUCGCGGCUUAUGAGCUUGUUGGUGGGGUAGGGGCUUACCAAGGCUUUGACGGGUAGCCGGCCUGAGAGGGUGACCGGCGACAUUGGGACUGAGAUACGGCGCAGACUCCUACGGGAGGCAGCAGUGGGGAAUAUUGCACAAUGGGAGGAAGCCUGAUGCAGCAACGCCGCGUGCGGGAUGACGGCCUUCGGGUUGUAAACCGCUUUCGCCUGUGACGAAGCGUGAGUGACGGUACUGGGUAAAGAAGCACCGGCUAACUACGUG